Long non-coding RNA from Herpailurus yagouaroundi (jaguarundi), 306 nucleotides. RefSeq lists it as uncharacterized. The transcript has 4 exons. NCBI's taxonomy places the organism in Eukaryota, Metazoa, Chordata, Mammalia, Carnivora, Felidae. The record is from RefSeq and is a predicted model, not a curated record.
ACAAUCAGAAACAAGAAAUGUGUAUACAGAUCUUCCUUGUCUUAUGAUGGGGUUAUGUCCUGACAACCGUCAUAAACAGAAAAUAUUGUAAGUUGCAAAUGCAUUUAAUACAUCUAACCAACUGAACAUCAUAGCUUAGCCUACCUCAAAUGUGCCCAUAAUGUUUAUAUUAGCCUACAUUUGGGCAAAAUCAUCCAACACAAAGCCUAUUUUAUAAUAGUGUUGAAUAUCUCAUGUAUGUAUUGAAUACUAUACUGAAUGUGAAAAACAGAAUGGCUGUAUGGGAACUAAACAUACCCAGCCCAA